GACUGGUGUGCUGACCAAGCAGGUGUAUUUUGAGUCAUGAGGUCUAAUGUGAAGAAGGUUUGCAUAUUUCUUUAAAUGCUUCCCUUCUUGUACUUGAAAAUUUUUUGUUGGUCAGGUUCUGUGGUAAAGGAAACCACCGUGGAUCCAUAAAUUGUCCUCAUUCUGCUUUAGAUGGAAAGACUGUAUAUAUGGAACUGGUUGGACAAAGUACAUUUGAGGUUUAUGUCUGCACUGUUAUGUGGAGGCAUUUUACUUGGCAGAUUUGGACUUUUGAUUAUUAGUUUUUAGAAUGAUGACUUUGAAAGGGCUUCAUUUUGCAGAUGUCGGUUUAGAUAUUUUUGAAUUUGGUUUCAUUUGUGUGCUCUUAAAUAUCCAAUCAUAUGUGUAUCAUUGUGAUAUGUUUGGGAGCUGUGAUCUGAUAUGAAAAGUUCCUGUAGAUAUUUUUUACUACUAUGAUUUAAGUACAAAACUGCAACUUGUGUUUUCUGACAUUAUGCUUCAAUCAAGAUGUUUA
This 514-nucleotide long non-coding RNA is filed under the name Coffea arabica (coffee). RNAcentral describes it as "long non-coding RNA (CARA_LNC004226)". Lineage: Eukaryota; Viridiplantae; Streptophyta; Magnoliopsida; Gentianales; Rubiaceae. The record is from RNAcentral.